AGUAUAUGAACUCAUGUCCCGAUAUUUUGUUAUCUUUCUUUUAUCAAUCAGUUUGAUUCAAAUCGUUGCAAUGUAGACAUCAGGAUUUCAUGUGUUACUAUGGUAUCAGACUCAGAAAUCAAUUUCUGAGGGUACCGAUCCUAGCCCGUUUCUUCAUCAAAACCACCAUUACUUCCAUUUUUAACAAUCAUCACCACCAUUAAUCCAUCAUCUUCUAUUGCUGCUACUGCAAAUCGAAAUUCGAAGGCUGAUUUGAUGGAAGCAUCUCAGAUUUGCGACUAAUUUGACGGAUCUAUGUGUUUCUAUAUACAUCAACAACAUCAGUAGUGCAACUAUUACUCCUAUCAGCCUACAACAAACUUCUGCUCCACUACAACUUUUUUGUCGCAUACUUCACCAACUGCAUCCAUAACUACUUCUCCCAUGGGACCAUUAUUCACUUACAUGUUCCGACUACUACCCAAUAUCAAUUGAUGGCAUGUUUCAGUUCACAUUAUAUCUUGCAGCUUAUUUUUAUUGGUGGAUCCUCUUUGCACUUAGUUGUUGCAAUUUGCCAUACACUGAAAGUACAACUCUUGUGUGACACACGAUUGGGUCUAUGUUGCUGAUGCCAAACUAGUGCUAAUCUCAGUGAUUGUGAUUUCUCUUAUUGUGGUUAAGAUCUUGUCAGACUCAACAAGUGUCAGCAGUUGCUCCCUAUGUCUACCAUAUGCUAGUGAAUUGAAAUAGAUAUUGCGUUUAAUUGCUUAUUGGUGUUUUUGUUGGUUUCGAGCAUAGUUUUCAUUAGUUUUCAGAUGGUUGUUAAGUAAAUUGGUCACCACCAUGGGAAAAAUGACAGUGUGAUGGCAGUUAAGAAACCAACAAAAUUUUCUGCUUGGUCAUAUCUUCAGCAUGGUGCAAAUUUGUAAGUACAUUCUUGUCAGUGUAUUUGUUUAUAUUUGCGACAAGUUUUCUCCAUAUGUAAGGUCCAAUGGAGCUAAUGAGUAUGGAUAUGGUGUAAUUUUGUGCUUCUGGUUGUUUGUAUCUUCACUAUUAUACCUUACAGGCUAUUAUGAUCUUCCCCAACUGCCUCAUAUAUUCUCUCUUGUUCCACAGUUCUAUUUGGUUCAUAUUUUACGGUAUCUGCUGAUGUUGUUGUCCAGUUCAAUAAUUUCUAUGGAGGUCACUUGUUUCAUCUUAGUCACGGCUUACAUUUUCUCUCAUAAAACUUGGCCAACUACUUUCAACACGCCUGGUACUUUCAGAAAUGCGUGUUCGCUUAUGGUUCAAACUGCCACUUCUGACUUCCUCUGCACCAACUAGUCCUGCACUGCUAUAUCAACUAUAUUUUACCUACUGUAACAACAAUAUUGGCCAGCAUGAUUUGUUUCGAGAAGUGUGUGAGUGACUAUGUGUGCAAGCUCAAGUCGCCUCUUCAAGCCCCCAUGAGCUUGAGGGAGGGUAAUAACAUGUAUGUAAGUGUGCGAGUGACUGUGUGUGGUGUAGGCUUUGAGUGUGUACAACACAUGUGAGUGAAAGAGAGAAUAGAGUCAAGAGAGUAUAUGAACUCAUGUCAUGUGUCUGUAUCUUGUUAUCUUUAUUUUAUCAAUCAAUUUGAUUCAAAUCGUUGCAAUGUA
Molecule: long non-coding RNA, 1616 nt
Organism: Papaver somniferum (opium poppy)
Lineage: Eukaryota; Viridiplantae; Streptophyta; Magnoliopsida; Ranunculales; Papaveraceae
Exons: 2
Source: RefSeq, a predicted model, not a curated record